GACGAACGCUGGCGGCGUGCCUAACACAUGCAAGUCGAGCGAUGAAUUGCUUCUUCGGAAGCGACGAUUAGCGGCGGACGGGUGAGUAACACGUGGGUAACCUGCCUCAAAGAGGGGAAUAGCCUCCCGAAAGGGAGAUUAAUACCGCAUAAUAUGUUUUGGUCGCAUGAUCUUAAUAUUAAAGGAUCUUUCUUCGUAAGAAGAAACUUCCGCUUUGAGAUGGACCCGCGGCGCAUUAGCCUAGUUGGUGAGGUAACGGCUCACCAAGGCGACGAUGCGUAGCCGACCUGAGAGGGUGGAUCGGCCACAUUGGAACUGAGACACGGUCCAGACUCCUACGGGAGGCUG
Molecule: ribosomal RNA, 348 nt
Filed under: uncultured bacterium
Lineage: Bacteria
Description: bacterial SSU rRNA
Rfam family: Bacterial small subunit ribosomal RNA
Source: RNAcentral